CAGCAGCCGCGGGAAUACGAGGGGGGCAAGCGUUGUUCGGAAUUAUUGGGCGUAAAGGGUGCGUAGGCGGUUUGGCAAGUUUGGUGUGAAAUCUUCGGGCUCAACUCGAAGUCUGCAUCGAAAACUGCCGGGCUUGAGUAUGGGAGAGGUGAGUGGAAUUUCCGGUGUAGCGGUGAAAUGCGUAGAUAUCGGAAGGAACACCUGCGGCGAAAGCGGCUCACUGGACCAUAACUGACGCUGAUGCACGAAAGCUAGGGGAGCAAACAGGAUUAGAGACCCCUGUAGUCCCUGUCUCUUAUAC
RNAcentral lists this ribosomal RNA (301 nucleotides) under uncultured bacterium. Its description in RNAcentral is "partial 16S ribosomal RNA". It matches the Rfam family "Bacterial small subunit ribosomal RNA", at positions 509 to 807 of the family's 1533-position model. The record is from RNAcentral.